This 465-nucleotide ribosomal RNA is filed under the name Vreelandella stevensii. RNAcentral's name for it is "partial 16S ribosomal RNA". It matches the Rfam family "Bacterial small subunit ribosomal RNA", at positions 338 to 795 of the family's 1533-position model. The record is from RNAcentral. Lineage: Bacteria; Pseudomonadati; Pseudomonadota; Gammaproteobacteria; Oceanospirillales; Halomonadaceae.
CCUACGGAUGGCAGCAGUGGGGAAUAUUGGACAAUGGGGGCAACCCUGAUCCAGCCAUGCCGCGUGUGUGAAGAAGGCCCUCGGGUUGUAAAGCACUUUCAGUGAGGAAGAACGCCUGGUGGUUAAUACCCAUCAGGAAAGACAUCACUCACAGAAGAAGCACCGGCUAACUCCGUGCCAGCAGCCGCGGUAAUACGGAGGGUGCGAGCGUUAAUCGGAAUUACUGGGCGUAAAGCGCGCGUAGGUGGCUUGAUAAGCCGGUUGUGAAAGCCCCGGGCUCAACCUGGGAACGGCAUCCGGAACUGUCAAGCUAGAGUGCAGGAGAGGAAGGUAGAAUUCCCGGUGUAGCGGUGAAAUGCGUAGAGAUCGGGAGGAAUACCAGUGGCGAAGGCGGCCUUCUGGACUGACACUGACACUGAGGUGCGAAAGCGUGGGUAGCAAACAGGAUUAGAUACCCUGGUAGUC